Molecule: long non-coding RNA, 151 nt
Organism: Brassica oleracea var. oleracea
Lineage: Eukaryota; Viridiplantae; Streptophyta; Magnoliopsida; Brassicales; Brassicaceae
Exons: 2
Source: RefSeq, a predicted model, not a curated record
CUGUUCUCCGAAAUUCCACCAUCCACGACUCCUAUGGCUUCCCUGAUCCCAUGUACAAGCUGAAAUAUGAAGCACCUGGAGCUAUUGAAUUGGGGAAGAGGGUAAAAGAAUUGUUAAUGGGAGAAGGAGGAAUGAAACGUGUUGAUGAAGA